Long non-coding RNA from Clupea harengus (Atlantic herring), 489 nucleotides. The record is from Ensembl. NCBI's taxonomy places the organism in Eukaryota, Metazoa, Chordata, Actinopteri, Clupeiformes, Clupeidae.
GAAGAAGGGAGGGGUAUGGAGAUAAAUGUGAGGAGGUUGGGGAGAGGUGUGGGGAAGCUGAAGGGAAGUUUGGGAGAGGUGUGGUAGUCAUUAUGAGAGGUUUAGGAGGUGGUUAGAAGGUAGGAGAGAUGGGGAGGUGGUGGAGGAAUGGGGACUCAUUGAUGUCACUGUAAAGAACAUGCCAAUACUAUUUCACCAGGCGUUUGAGCUGUUGAUUUGAAUUCAUUUGAGCAGUGCUGAGUUUAAUUUCGUCUGACAGUGUGAUAUAUUUUGGCCCAGUUUUAGCCUUCAUCCAUAACCCCUACUCCACUGCCAGAACAAAUGACUAACACAUGCUAUAUAUAAGCCACUAGAUGACAGAGGCCCGCGGGAGCAAGCAAUUCAACACGUCAUAAUGAAUAUAAAUACUUCCAUUCCAGACAUGUCAGAUUGAAUGUAAACAUUUCUAGACUAGUUAGGUGUCACUACUACCGCUAUCACUGUGUGUGU